RNAcentral lists this transfer RNA (73 nucleotides) under Ipomoea nil (Japanese morning glory). It matches the Rfam family "tRNA". From Rfam's summary of the family: Transfer RNA (tRNA) molecules are approximately 80 nucleotides in length. The record is from Rfam by way of RNAcentral. Lineage: Eukaryota; Viridiplantae; Streptophyta; Magnoliopsida; Solanales; Convolvulaceae.
GGGGAUGUAGCUCAUAUGUUAGAGCACUCGCUUUGCAUGCAAGAGGUACAGGGAUUGAUACCCCGCAUCUCUA